RNAcentral lists this long non-coding RNA (350 nucleotides) under Heterocephalus glaber (naked mole-rat). Its description in RNAcentral is "lncRNA (ENSHGLG00000043403.1)". Lineage: Eukaryota; Metazoa; Chordata; Mammalia; Rodentia; Bathyergidae. The record is from RNAcentral.
GCCAGGUCCCCAGGGUCUGUACUGUGAGAAUCCGCCCACAGCGGCCCCGCUCUCACUCGUGACCCGACAUCAGGGAGAGGCCUGGGCGCACCCCGGGACCCGCGUUGUGGGGAGCUCUAGCGCAGCCUCCUGUGGUGCCCAGCAGGAGAAGCGCUUUGGCCAAGGCGUUGUGAGAGUUUCAAGAAAGAAACACUCUUUUGGGUCCUUCUCUGGAUGAGAAGAAAAGCAUAAAUCCUGGGAUAUCCACUGGUGGCAAAUGUCACCCACCUGACGAGGAAGUCCUCUGCAACCGAGAUCCAGAGUGUCCUGAAGGAGAUACUGCAGACUGGGGCCAGAGGUGGGGAGAGGGA